RNAcentral lists this ribosomal RNA (1483 nucleotides) under uncultured bacterium. RNAcentral's name for it is "bacterial SSU rRNA". It matches the Rfam family "Bacterial small subunit ribosomal RNA". The record is from RNAcentral.
AGAGUUUGAUCCUGGCUCAGGAUGAACGCUAGCGGGAGGCCUAACACAUGCAAGUCGAACGGGAUUGGUAGCAAUACCAUGAGAGUGGCGCACGGGUGAGUAACGCGUAUGCAAGCAACCUGCCUUAUACAGGGGAAUAGCCCAUGGAAACGUGGAUUAAAGUCCCAUAGAAUCAAGAUAUCGCAUGGUAUUAUGAUUAAAACUGAGGUGGUAUAAGAUGGGCAUGCGUCUGAUUAGGUAGUUGGUGAGGUAACGGCUCACCAAGCCGACGAUCAGUAGGGGUUCUGAGAGGAUUACCCCCCACACUGGUACUGAGACACGGACCAGACUCCUACGGGAGGCAGCAGUAAGGAAUAUUGGGCAAUGGAGGCAACUCUGACCCAGCCAUGCCGCGUGAAGGAUUGACGGCCCUCUGGGUUGUAAACUUCUUUUGUACGGGAAUAACCCUCCGAACGUGUUCGAAAUGACGGUACCCCAAAAACAAGCAUCGGCUAACUCCGUGCCAGCAGCCGCGGUAAUACGGAGGAUGCGAGCGUUAUCCGGAUUCAUUGGGUUUAAAGGGUGCGCAGGUGGGAAAAUAAGUCAGUGGUGAAAUACUGCCGCUUAACGGUAGAAUUGCCAUUGAUACUGUUUUUCUUGAGUAUGGUUGAGGUAGGUGGAAUGUGUUGUGUAGCGGUGAAAUGCAUAGAUAUGACACAGAACGCCGAUUGCGAAGGCAGCUUACUAAGCCAUUACUGACGCUGAGGCACGAAAGCGUGGGGAUCGAACAGGAUUAGAUACCCUGGUAGUCCACGCCGUAAACGAUGAUCACUCGCUGUUUGCGAUACAUUGCCAGUGACUGAGCGAAAGCAUUAAGUAAUCCACCUGGGGAGUACGUUCGCAAGAAUGAAACUCAAAGGAAUUGACGGGGGCCCGCACAAGCGGAGGAGCAUGUGGUUUAAUUCGAUGAUACGCGAGGAACCUUACCUGGGCUUAAAUGUAGGCUGCAUUCGGCUGAAAGGCUGAUUCCCUUCGGGGCUGCUUACAAGGUGCUGCAUGGUUGUCGUCAGCUAGUGCCGUGAGGUGUCGGGUUAAGUCCCAUAACGAGCGCAACCCUUAACGUUAGUUGCCAGCGGGUCAAGCACAAGUGUCACACGAGACUGCCACCGUAAGGUGUGAGGAAGGUGGGGAUGACGUCAAAUCAGCACGGCCCUUAUGUCCAGGGCUACACACGUGUUACAAUGGCCGAUACAAAGGGCAGCUACUCCGCGAGGAGAUGCUAAUCUCUAAAGUCGGUCCCAGUUCGGAUUGGAGUCUGCAACCCGACUCCAUGAAGUUGGAUUCGCUAGUAAUCGCGCAUCAGCCAUGGCGCGGUGAAUACGUUCCCGGGCCUUGUACACACCGCCCGUCAAACAAUGGAAGCUGGGGGUACCUGAAGUCUGUAACCGCAAGGAGCGGCCUAGGGUAAAACUAGUAACUGGUGUUAAGUCGUAACAAGGUAACC